GACGAACGCUGGCGGCGUGCCUAAUACAUGCAAGUAGAACGCUGAAGAGAGGAGCUUGCUCUUCUUGAAUGAGUUGCGAACGGGUGAGUAACGCGUAGGUAACCUGCCUUGUAGCGGGGGAUAACUAUUGGAAACGAUAGCUAAUACCGCAUAACAAUGGGUGACACAUGUCAUUUAUUUGAAAGGGGCAAUUGCUCCACUACAAGAUGGACCUGCGUUGUAUUAGCUAGUAGGUGAGGUAACGGCUCACCUAGGCGACGAUACAUAGCCGACCUGAGAGGGUGAUCGGCCACACUGGGACUGAGACACGGCCCAGACUCCUACGGGAGGCAGCAGUAGGGAAUCUUCGGCAAUGGGGGCAACCCUGACCGAGCAACGCCGCGUGAGUGAAGAAGGUUUUCGGAUCGUAAAGCUCUGUUGUAAGUCAAGAACGAGUGUGAGAGGGAAAGUUCAC
RNAcentral lists this ribosomal RNA (454 nucleotides) under Streptococcus sp. oral taxon C65. RNAcentral's name for it is "bacterial SSU rRNA". It matches the Rfam family "Bacterial small subunit ribosomal RNA", at positions 28 to 467 of the family's 1533-position model. The record is from RNAcentral. Lineage: Bacteria; Bacillati; Bacillota; Bacilli; Lactobacillales; Streptococcaceae.